AACGCACAUUGCGCCCCCCGGUAUUCCGGGGGGCAUGCCUGUUCGAGCGUCACAAAAAACCAUCAAAAACCCCCUUGUUAGCGCAGGCGGGGGGCUUGACGUUGGGUGAUUGGACCGCCGCGCUUGUACCCUUCGGUGGGCAUUUCUUCGCGGUCCCACCCCAAAUCCGUUGGCAGCGGCGCGGAGCCCCGAGCGUACCAGGACCGUCAAACAGUCGCCGCUCUGUGGGCCACCGUGCUCCGUUAUAGCCCCGAAACGACCCCAGCCGAAGCGCCCUAAGAAGCGCGACUAGAAUUGACCUCGGAUCAGGUAGGGAUACCCGCUGAACUUAA
This 332-nucleotide unclassified non-coding RNA is filed under the name uncultured fungus. RNAcentral describes it as "partial contains 5.8S ribosomal RNA, internal transcribed spacer 2, and large subunit ribosomal RNA". The stretch from base 1 to 52 matches the Rfam family "5.8S ribosomal RNA", at positions 103 to 154 of the family's 154-position model. Lineage: Eukaryota; Fungi. The record is from RNAcentral.